UACGAAGGGGGCGAGCGUUGUUCGGAUUUACUGGGCGUAAAGGGCGCGCAGGCGGCUUAUUUUGUCAGGCGUGAAAGCCCCGGGCUUAACCUGGGAACUGCGUUUGAUACGGAUGGGCUAGAGUUCGGGAGAGGAGAGUGGAAUUCCCAGUGUAGAGGUGAAAUUCGUAGAUAUUGGGAAGAACACCGGUGGCGAAGGCGGCUCUCUGGACAGAGACUGACGCUGAGGCGCGAAAGCGUGGGGAGCAAACAGG
This 253-nucleotide ribosomal RNA is filed under the name uncultured bacterium. RNAcentral describes it as "partial 16S ribosomal RNA". It matches the Rfam family "Bacterial small subunit ribosomal RNA", at positions 524 to 776 of the family's 1533-position model. The record is from RNAcentral.